Molecule: ribosomal RNA, 848 nt
Filed under: uncultured bacterium
Lineage: Bacteria
Description: bacterial SSU rRNA
Rfam family: Bacterial small subunit ribosomal RNA
Source: RNAcentral
GUGCCAGCCGCCGCGGUAAUACGGAGGGUGCAAGCGUUAAUCGGAAUUACUGGGCGUAAAGCGUGCGUAGGCGGUUUAUUAAGUCAGAUGUGAAAGCCCCGGGCCUAACCUGGGAACUGCAUUUGAAACUGGUCAACUAGAGUAUGGUAGAGGAAAGUGGAAUUUCUGGUGUAGCGGUGAAAUGCGUAGAUAUCAGAAGGAACAUCAAUGGCGAAGGCAACUUUCUGGACCAAUACUGACGCUGAGGUACGAAAGCGUGGGUAGCAAACAGGAUUAGAUACCCUGGUAGUCCACGCCGUAAACGAUGAUAACUAGCCGUUGGGGGGAUUUACCCCUUAGUGGCGAAGCUAACGCGUUAAGUUAUCCGCCUGGGGAGUACGGCCGCAAGGCUAAAACUCAAAGGAAUUGACGGGGACCCGCACAAGCGGUGGAGCAUGUGGUUUAAUUCGAUGCAACGCGAAGAACCUUACCUGGUCUUGACAUCCUGCGAACUUUCUAGAAAUAGAUUGGUGCCUUCGGGAACGCAGUGACAGGUGCUGCAUGGCUGUCGUCAGCUCGUGUCGUGAGAUGUUGGGUUAAGUCCCGUAACGAGCGCAACCCCUAUCCUUAUUUGCCAGCACAUUAUGGUGGGAACUAUAAGGAGACUGCCGGUGAUAAACCGGAGGAAGGCGGGGACGACGUCAAGUCAUCAUGGCCCUUACGACCAGGGCUACACACGUGCUACAAUGGGAAGUACAAAGAGUCGCGAAGCCGCGAGGUGUAGCUAAUCUCACAAAUCUUCUCGUAGUCCGGAUUGGAGUCUGCAACUCGACUCCAUGAAGUCGGAAUCGCUAGUAAUCGUAGAUCAG